This 67-nucleotide transfer RNA is filed under the name Abracris sp. OR222. Its description in RNAcentral is "tRNA-His". Lineage: Eukaryota; Metazoa; Arthropoda; Insecta; Orthoptera; Acrididae. The record is from RNAcentral.
GCUUAGAUAUUUUAAUUUUAAAAUGUUGUUUUGUGGGAUCGAUGAUAUGAUUUAUUCAUUCUAGGCU